GUCCUGAUAGGGUAGUGGACUAUCCUCCUGGCUUGCGGAGCCAGGGACCGGAGUUCGAAUCUCCGUCAGGACGCCA
Molecule: transfer RNA, 76 nt
Filed under: Haloferax volcanii
Lineage: Archaea; Methanobacteriati; Methanobacteriota; Halobacteria; Halobacteriales; Haloferacaceae
Description: tRNA-Arg
Rfam family: tRNA
About the family: Transfer RNA (tRNA) molecules are approximately 80 nucleotides in length. Their secondary structure includes four short double-helical elements and three loops (D, anti-codon, and T loops).
Source: RNAcentral